This 208-nucleotide ribosomal RNA is filed under the name uncultured bacterium. RNAcentral's name for it is "partial 16S ribosomal RNA". It matches the Rfam family "Bacterial small subunit ribosomal RNA", at positions 568 to 774 of the family's 1533-position model. The record is from RNAcentral.
AGCGUAGGCGGACAUUUAAGUCAGGGGUGAAAUCCCGGGGCUCAACCUCGGAAUUGCCUUUGAUACUGGGUGUCUUGAGUAUGAGAGAGGUGUGGUGGAACUCCGAGUGUGGAGGUGAAAUUCGUAGAUAUUCGGAAGAACACCAGUGGCGAAGGCGACACACUGGCUCAUUACUGACGCUGAGGCUCGAAAGCGUGGGGAGCAAACA